AUGCAAGUCGAAACGGAAAUAAAGGAGCUUGCUCCUUUUGAUUAGUGGCGAACGGGUGAGUAACACGUGGGCAACCUGCCCCUGACUCUGGGAUAACUAUUCGAAAGAGUAGCUAAUACCGGAUAUGAAACCUGGAGGACAUCUUCAGGUUUGGAAAGUUUUUCGGUCAGGGAUGGGCCCCGCGGCCUAUCAGCUAGUUGGUGAGGUAGUGGCUCACCAAGGCGACGACGGGUAGCCGGCCUGAGAGGGCGACCGGCCACACUGGGACUGAGACACGGCCCCAGACUCC
RNAcentral lists this ribosomal RNA (289 nucleotides) under unidentified marine bacterioplankton. RNAcentral describes it as "partial 16S ribosomal RNA". It matches the Rfam family "Bacterial small subunit ribosomal RNA", at positions 55 to 339 of the family's 1533-position model. The record is from RNAcentral.